Long non-coding RNA from Gasterosteus aculeatus aculeatus (three-spined stickleback), 1146 nucleotides. Lineage: Eukaryota; Metazoa; Chordata; Actinopteri; Perciformes; Gasterosteidae. The record is from Ensembl.
CGUUCACCGGCGAUGGCUGUAACUACUAUGGCUCCAUCUGCUGGUGGAGGUAGGAACUCCACCCCGAAACUCAGAGCAUUCCCCUCACACCUGAAACCCAUCAGGGUGUGACGACCUGGAGGCCUCCAUGAGGGCGGAAGACACACCGCUGAGGGAGGAGAGACGAGCUGCAGAUUGGGCCCGCGGCAGAAGAGCAGACCAAGACAGAAGGAUUCCCGAAUGCAGGAGAGACCGAGAGGACGGUGUUCUCUCUUUAAAGAAGUGGAUUUCCGUUUCCCCUCCAAAGACAAGACAUUAGUUAAGUUUUACCGGCGAAGAUCGACCGAAGCCUGAGUUACUCCCUGUUUUGACUGUUUUCUGUUUAAUCUGAAGGACGUAAAUUAAAACCUUUGUUUGCAUUUUUGAACUCUGUCCUCGCGCUAUUUGAACUACCCCGGAGAGAGCGGCGGCGCCUCUCGUGACGUCACAAGACAAAGCGUAGAACACGUGGUUCCCGCUCAUUUCCUUUGUUCAGUGGUGUGACUGGCCCGCUUUGCUAAAAGGGUUUAGUCAAAUUGACGAAGCGAUCAAGAGAGACAGAGUCAGGCUUACGGGCUUGUUAGAAAACGUCUUGUUUACGACAAUACACCGGUUGCUAUGCAACUUGGUAUGCCUGCUACCUUGUGUAGACCGACAAUCAUCCAACCCUUGAUCAUCUAAAAGAACGACAGACGCCUAAAACGUCAGCGUCCCUCCAAUGAACUCCCCCCUCUUCUCCACCACCUCCAUCUCUGAUUCACACACUCCCACAGCCAGGGCCUAUGAACACACAGGAAGAGAAGGCCUGUGAACCUCACCAGGUGUUUAAGGAUUCUGGAAUAUGUUAGAAUCUGGGCGCUACAUCUGCUGAACAAGGUCUGGCUUAAAUACAAUGUAGAGAUUGGUUAUGGCUGUCAGACAAAUAAUCCCAGUCAGAAAAAACAUCCUUGUUUGGAGCAAUGCGACUGCUUCUACCAACUACACUUUGAACCCAUAAUGAAAAGUUUGUGGAAUGAGAACUUCAUAUCCGCCGUCUCCCUGUUUAUGGCUGUGGAUCAUCUUCAUGUCGACUGGUACCACAUCCAGGAGGCUGCGGAAGUUCUUUUAAACCAUCUGAACUAUGUGGAC